CUGUAAUUUGAUUAUUAUUUUUAUUGGAUAUUGUAGGGAGGAAUGUGGAUGGUCGGAAUAUUAUGGUUUAGUUUGCAAAAUAUGGACCAAAUGCUGAGCGUAUACAUAAAGGAAAAAUUAUGGAAGCAGUUCCAAAGACAAGAGGAAGGUCAAGAAGUUGUAGCCCUCGACCUAGCAAAUGCAUGACGGAUGUAAUUCUGCGGUGAGACCAACAAGUAAGAGUAACAGGAUUUUAACUUUCUCUAUGGUCAACCUUGCAUAACGGAACUUGUAGUUUCCUACUCUGUGUUGUUUGCUAUGAAGAAGAGUGUACUGUAAUCAUGUGUGAACUGUGGAUAUUGUAGAUUUCAGAGUCAAAGUCAUCAGCCUGCAUUAACUUUAGCGUCCAAAUAUUAGAUGCUAAGUUGUUAAGAUUAAACCUCAA
Molecule: long non-coding RNA, 424 nt
Organism: Zingiber officinale
Lineage: Eukaryota; Viridiplantae; Streptophyta; Magnoliopsida; Zingiberales; Zingiberaceae
Exons: 3
Source: RefSeq, a predicted model, not a curated record